Molecule: non-coding RNA, 224 nt
Filed under: Oscillospiraceae bacterium
Lineage: Bacteria; Bacillati; Bacillota; Clostridia; Eubacteriales; Oscillospiraceae
Description: 6S RNA
Rfam family: 6S / SsrS RNA
About the family: E. coli 6S RNA was the first non coding RNA to be sequenced, but its function was unknown until recently.
Source: RNAcentral
GUUGUCCUGCCCUGCUCGUGAUGGGCCUUUUAAACCCACAUUUAUAAUAAGGGAUGCCGGCUCUCCGGGCGGAAUCGCAGGCCUCCCGCGCGGUGCGCACACGGAUCAUUCCGCGUAAGCCGCCGGCGGACGUUGGAAGCGGAGAAGUUUAGAGGAGGCAACCCACCUGUUUUUUAUAGAGGCAGGGUUUAUAAAUGGGUUCACACGGCAGGCGCGGGACGCGC